Molecule: ribosomal RNA, 353 nt
Filed under: uncultured Brucellaceae bacterium
Lineage: Bacteria; Pseudomonadati; Pseudomonadota; Alphaproteobacteria; Hyphomicrobiales; Brucellaceae
Description: bacterial SSU rRNA
Rfam family: Bacterial small subunit ribosomal RNA
Source: RNAcentral
AGAGUUUGAUCAUGGCUCAGAACGAACGCUGGCGGCAGGCUUAACACAUGCAAGUCGAGCGCCCCGCAAGGGGAGCGGCAGACGGGUGAGUAACGCGUGGGAACGUACCCUUUGCUACGGAAUAACUCCGGGAAACUGGAACUAAUACCGUAUGUGCCCUUCGGGGGAAAGAUUUAUCGGCAAGGGAUCGGCCCGCGUUGGAUUAGCUAGUUGGUGGGGUAAAGGCCUACCAAGGCGACGAUCCAUAGCUGGUCUGAGAGGAUGAUCAGCCACACUGGGACUGAGACACGGCCCAGACUCCUACGGGAGGCAGCAGUGGGGAAUAUUGGACAAUGGGCGCAAGCCUGAUCCAG